Molecule: ribosomal RNA, 482 nt
Filed under: uncultured bacterium
Lineage: Bacteria
Description: partial 16S ribosomal RNA
Rfam family: Bacterial small subunit ribosomal RNA
Source: RNAcentral
AUUGAACGCUGGCGGCAUGCUUUGCACAUGCAAGUCGAACGGUAACAGGCCGCAAGGUGCUGACGAGUGGCGAACGGGUGAGUAAUGCAUCGGAACGUGCCCAGUCGUGGGGGAUAACUACUCUAAAGAGUAGCUAAUACCGCAUACGAUCUAUGGAUGAAAUCGGGGGACCGUAAGGCCUCGCGCGAUUGGAGCGGCCGAUGUCAGAUUAGUUAGUUGGUGGGGUAAAGGCUCACCAAGCCAACGAUCUGUAGCUGGUCUGAGAGGACAACCAUCCACACUGGGACUGAGACACGGCCAAGACUCCUACGGGAGGCAGCAGUGGGGAAUUUUGGACAAUGGGCGCAAGCCUGAUCCAGCAAUGCCGAGUGCAGGAAGAAGGCCUUCGGGUUGUAAACUGCUUUUGUACGGAACGAAACGGCUCUGGUUAAUACCCGGGGCUAAUGACGGUACCGUAAGAAUAAGCACCGGCUAACUACGUG